AGAGUUUGAUCCCUGCUCAGAUUGACCGCUGGCGGCAGGCCUAACACAUGCAAGUCGAACGGUAGCACAGAGGAGCUUGCUCCUUGGGUGACGAGUGGCGGACGGGUGAGUAAUGUCUGGGAAACUGCCCGAUGGAGGGGGAUAACUACUGGAAACGGUAGCUAAUACCGCAUAACGUCGCAAGACCAAAGAGGGGGACCUUCGGGCCUCUUGCCAUCGGAUGUGCCCAGAUGGGAUUAGCUAGUAGGUGGGGUAACGGCUCACCUAGGCGACGAUCCCUAGCUGGUCUGAGAGGAUGACCAGCCACACUGGAACUGAGACACGGUCCAGACUCCUACGGGAGGCAGCAGUGGGGAAUAUUGCACAAUGGGCGCAAGCCUGAUGCAGCCAUGCCGCGUGUAUGAAGAAGGCCUUCGGGUUGUAAAGUACUUUCAGCGAGGAGGAAGGUGUUGUGGUUAAUAACCGCAGCAAUUGACGUUACUCGCAGAAGAAGCACCGGCUAACUCCGUGCCAGCAGCCGCGGUAAUACGGAGGGUGCAAGCGUUAAUCGGAAUUACUGGGCGUAAAGCGCACGCAGGCGGUCUGUCAAGUCGGAUGUGAAAUCCCCGGGCUCAACCUGGGAACUGCAUCCGAAACUGGCAGGCUAGAGUCUUGUAGAGGGGGGUAGAAUUCCAGGUGUAGCGGUGAAAUGCGUAGAGAUCUGAAGGAAUACCGGUGGCGAAGGCGGCCCCCUGGACAAAGACUGACGCUCAGGUGCGAAAGCGCGGGGAGCAAACAGGAUUAGAUACCCUGGUAGUCCACGCCGUAAACGAUGUCGACUUGGAGGUUGUGCCCUUGAGGCGUGGCUUCCGGAGCUAACGCGUUAAGUCGACCGCCUGGGGAGUACGGCCGCAAGGUUAAAACUCAAAUGAAUUGACGGGGGCCCGCACAAGCGGUGGAGCAUGUGGUUUAAUUCGAUGCAACGCGAAGAACCUUACCUACUCUUGACAUCCAGAGAACUUAGCAGAGAUGCUUUGGUGCCUUCGGGAACUCUGAGACAGGUGCUGCAUGGCUGUCGUCAGCUCGUGUUGUGAAAUGUUGGGUUAAGUCCCGCAACGAGCGCAACCCUUAUCCUUUGUUGCCAGCGGUUCGGCCGGGAACUCAAAGGAGACUGCCAGUGAUAAACUGGAGGAAGGUGGGGAUGACGUCAAGUCAUCAUGGCCCUUACGAGUAGGGCUACACACGUGCUACAAUGGCAUAUACAAAGAGAAGCGACCUCGCGAGAGCAAGCGGACCUCAUAAAGUAUGUCGUAGUCCGGAUUGGAGUCUGCAACUCGACUCCAUGAAGUCGGAAUCGCUAGUAAUCGUGGAUCAGAAUGCCACGGUGAAUACGUUCCCGGGCCUUGUACACACCGCCCGUCACACCAUGGGAGUGGGUUGCAAAAGAAGUAGGUAGCUUAACCUUCGGGAGGGCGCUUACCACUUUGUGAUUCAUGACUGGGGUGAA
RNAcentral lists this ribosomal RNA (1486 nucleotides) under uncultured bacterium. RNAcentral's name for it is "bacterial SSU rRNA". It matches the Rfam family "Bacterial small subunit ribosomal RNA". The record is from RNAcentral.